UGUCUCCUCCAACUCUCCUCAGAAAAGAAUUGGAUUUCAGCCCGCUCCUUGAGCGGGCUUUUUUUU
Molecule: non-coding RNA, 66 nt
Filed under: Massilia timonae CCUG 45783
Lineage: Bacteria; Pseudomonadati; Pseudomonadota; Betaproteobacteria; Burkholderiales; Oxalobacteraceae
Description: Betaproteobacteria toxic small RNA
Rfam family: Betaproteobacteria toxic small RNA
About the family: Overexpression in amino aid rich medium attenuates growth, suggesting role in repressing amino acid intake and metabolism.
Source: Rfam by way of RNAcentral